UUCAUUCUGCGGCAGCCGGCUUUGGUCCCUCAGUCGUGGAGCCGCUACGGGGAAGGACGGGUGUUCCACUUUCCCUUGUCCUGUUCGUUUUUCUAUGGGCGAGACCUCAGGUAUUGGUUAUCUAUGAAGGCUGGUGAAGUGGAGUACGAGUUGGUCGAGAAGUGACAGUUGCAGAAGACAAAGUGAAAUUUGGUUGUGCCCUUGUAUGAAGUACCUCUACACCAUGUCACAAGUUGGUUGUGGCGCCUCCCUUUUUUAACUCAAUCAUUAAGUCAGACCACUCCUAUCCAUACACAAAGAAAGAUUUGAGGCACAUUUUGCAGUCCAGUACAUCUUACUUUUCUGUUCAUCCAUGUGUCUGCAGUGUUAAAAAAUGAGAGAGAACCCCAGUGUACAUCUGUAAGUUGGUUUCCAAGUUUGGCAGUCUUGUAAUCAGCACGAAGCUGAAUGAAGUUUGCCAGAACAUUGCGAUCCAAGCCACUCUGAAAAGCAUAAAAUGAAAAUGUUUCACCAGACAACUUUCUCAAAAUUUAGAAGUUCAUGUGCAGCUAUCAAUAGUUUCAGUAAGACAGCAAAUGUUGAGAGGAAACCCCCACCACCAAGCAAGAAGACUUACCAGUGGCACUGUAUUCAAACUUCAUGAGAUGGUCGAAGAUGGUGCGGUGGAACCUGAGGCCCAGCUCCAGCAGCACACUCUCCAAGUUGUGCCCAUCAAGGGAGUCCCGGAUGCGCUCCACCACCAGGUUGAUGUAGCGCACCACACGCUGGCAUGCCUGCAUCAGGGGACAGAACAUUACAGCAUUCAUGCAAUAAAUAUUCAUUCUAUA
This is a long non-coding RNA of Scylla paramamosain (green mud crab), 827 nucleotides long. RefSeq lists it as uncharacterized. Lineage: Eukaryota; Metazoa; Arthropoda; Malacostraca; Decapoda; Portunidae. The transcript has 5 exons. The record is from RefSeq and is a predicted model, not a curated record.